AGAGUUUGAUCAUGGCUCAGGAUUAACGCUGGCGGCGUGCCUAAUACAUGCAAGUCGAAUGGUAGCAAUACCAUGGCGAACGGGUGAGUAACACGUAGGUAACCUGUCUUUAAGACGAGGAUAACCGUUGGAAACGACGGAUAAUACUCGAUAGGUGAUUUUAGGGCAUCCUAGGAUCAUUAAAGAUUUAUCACUUAGAGAGGGGCCUGCGGCGCAUUAGCUAGAUGGCGGGGUAAUAGCCCACCAUGGCGAUGAUGCGUAGCCGGACUGAGAGGUUGAACGGCCACAAUGGAACUGAGAACGGUCCAUACUCCUACGGGAGGCAGCAGUAGGGAAUUUUCGGCAAUGGGCGAAAGCCUGACCGAGCAACGCCGCGUGAACGAAGAAGUAUUUCGGUAUGUAAAGUUCUUUUAUUGGGGAAGAAAAAUAUCCAAAUUGACGGUACCCAAUGAAUAAGCUCCGGCUAACUACGUGCCAGCAGCCGCGGUAAUACGUAGGGAGCGAGCGUUAUCCGGAAUUAUUGGGCGUAAAGGGUGCGUAGAUGGCAAUAUAAGUCUUAUGUAAAAAUGCUGGGCUCAACCCAGUAGGGCAUAAGAUACUGUAUAGCUCGAGUAUUGGAGAGGCAAGUGGAACUCCAUGUGUAGCGGUAAAAUGCGUAAAUAUAUGGAAGAACACCAGUGGCGAAGGCGGCUUGCUAGCCAGAUACUGACAUUGAGGCACGAAAGCGUGGGGAGCAAACAGGAUUAGAUACCCUGGUAGUCCACGCCCUAAACGAUGAGUACUAAGUGUUGGUUUAAGAUCAGUGCUGAAGUUAACGCAUUAAGUACUCCGCCUGAGUAGUACGUACGCAAGUAUGAAACUUAAAGGAAUUGACGGGAGCCCGCACAAGCGGUGGAGCAUGUUGUUUAAUUCGACGAUACGCGAAGAACCUUACCAGGUCUUGACAUCCGGUUGUUAGUUAUAGAGAUAUAAUGAGAUUGGCCGAGACAGGUGGUGCAUGGUUGUCGUCAGCUCGUGUCGUGAGAUGUUGGGUUAAGUCCCGCAACGAGCGCAACCCUUAUUUCUAGUUACCAUCAUCCAGUUGGGGACUCUAGAGAGACUGCCAGUGAUAAAUUGGAGGAAGGUGGGGAUGACGUCAAAUCAUCAUGCCCUUUAUGACCUGGGCUACAAACGUGCUACAAUGGCUGAAACAAAGAGAAGCAAAAUCGCGAGAUGGAGCAAACCUCAUAAAAGCAGUCUCAGUUCGGAUUGAAGUCUGCAACUCGACUUCAUGAAGUUGGAAUCGCUAGUAAUCGCGAAUCAGAAUGUCGCGGUGAAUACGUUCCCGGGCUUUGUACACACCGCCCGUCAAACCAUGAGAGUUUGUGAUACCCGAAGCCGGUGGCCUAACGCAAGAGGGAGCCGUCUAAGGUAGGACAGAUGAUUGGGGUUAAGUCGUAACAAGGUAGCC
RNAcentral lists this ribosomal RNA (1450 nucleotides) under uncultured rumen bacterium. Its description in RNAcentral is "bacterial SSU rRNA". It matches the Rfam family "Bacterial small subunit ribosomal RNA". The record is from RNAcentral.